RNAcentral lists this ribosomal RNA (253 nucleotides) under uncultured bacterium. RNAcentral describes it as "partial 16S ribosomal RNA". It matches the Rfam family "Bacterial small subunit ribosomal RNA", at positions 524 to 776 of the family's 1533-position model. The record is from RNAcentral.
UACGUAGGGUGCAAGCGUUAAUCGGAAUUACUGGGCGUAAAGCGUGCGCAGGCGGUUUCUUAAGUCAGACGUGAAAUCCCUCGGCUUAACCGGGGAACUGCGUCUGAUACUGGAUGGCUUGAGUUCGGGAGAGGGAUGCGGAAUUCCAGGUGUAGCGGUGAAAUGCGUAGAUAUCUGGAGGAACACCGGUGGCGAAGGCGGCAUCCUGGACCGACACUGACGCUGAGGAGCGAAAGCCAGGGGAGCAAACGGG